CACCGCCUGGGGAGUACGACCGCAAGGUUAAAACUCAAAUGAAUUGACGGGGACCCGCACAAGUAGUGGAGCAUGUGGUUUAAUUCGAAGAUACGCGCAGAACCUUACCAACACUUGACAUGUUCGUCGCGACUUUAAGAGAUUAAAGUUUUCGGUUCGGCCGGACGAAACACAGGUGCUGCAUGGCUGUCGUCAGCUCGUGUCGUGAGAUGUUGGGUUAAGUCCCGCAACGAGCGCAACCCUCACUUUUAGUUGCCAUCAUUUAGUUGGGCACUCUGAAAGAACUGCCAGUGAUAAGCUGGAGGAAGGUGGGGAUGACGUCAAGUCCUCAUGGCCCUUACGUGUUGGGCUACACACGUGCUACAAUGGUAUCUACAACAGGAAGCAAGACGGCGACGUUAAGCAAAUCCUCAAAAGAUACCUCAGUUCGGAUUGCACUCUGCAACUCGAGUGCAUGAAGCUGGAAUUACUAGUAAUCGUGGAUCAGCGUGCCACGGUGAAUGCGUUCCCGGGUCUUGUACACACCGCCCGUCACACCAUGGGAGUUGGUUCUACCUUAAGGCAAGGUUUAAAACCCUUGACCACGGUAUAGUCAGCGACUGGGGUGAAGUCGUAACAAGGUAGCCGUAGGGGAACCUGCGGCUGGAUUACCUCCUUUCUAAGGAUGAUUAAAAUAUAAAUUAUUUUAAUCUAAAUAUUUAACAGGUUAAUGUUGACCGUCCUCAUUUCUCUUCUUAGAUGUAGUGUUUCUCUUUACUGAAUAAGGGCCGGUAGCUCAGUUGGUUAGAGCACACCCUUGAUAAGGGUGGGGUCGAAAGUUCGAGUCUUUCUCGGCCCACCAAAUUUCAUGGGGGAUUAGCUCAGCUGGGAGAGCGCCUGAUUUGCAUUCAGGAGGUCAGCGGUUCGAUCCCGCUAUCCUCCACCAGAAACAUUUAGUUAUAAAAAUCGUAAAUAAAAAAUUAUUAAUAUCAAUAUCUAUAUCCGAUUGUUCGAAUAGAUGAACAAUCAAAAUGUUUAAUUAAAAACAUUUAAAAAAUUUGAUUCAACACAGAAUUUUUUUCUG
RNAcentral lists this small RNA (1063 nucleotides) under uncultured Pelagibacterales bacterium. RNAcentral describes it as "bacterial SSU rRNA". The stretch from base 1 to 658 matches the Rfam family "Bacterial small subunit ribosomal RNA", at positions 867 to 1533 of the family's 1533-position model. The record is from RNAcentral. Lineage: Bacteria; Pseudomonadati; Pseudomonadota; Alphaproteobacteria; Candidatus Pelagibacterales.